This 29-nucleotide non-coding RNA is filed under the name Mus musculus (house mouse). The record is from RNAcentral. Lineage: Eukaryota; Metazoa; Chordata; Mammalia; Rodentia; Muridae.
UAGACGGGAUUUGAAUUGUUUAAUGGCUA